Small nucleolar RNA from Cercocebus atys (sooty mangabey), 136 nucleotides. NCBI's taxonomy places the organism in Eukaryota, Metazoa, Chordata, Mammalia, Primates, Cercopithecidae. The record is from Ensembl.
UGCCUCAUUCUAGAUGAGAAUGGGCACUGUUGAUCAUCAUGGUGUCCAAAAAUAGUUAAUGUGGCUACAUUGAGACAGGUUAUGCUUCCAUCACAGUAUGCAUAUUGCAGUGGUGACAAUGAGACCUGUAACAUUU